CUGUCCAAGGCAGGGGUCAGGCGGUACUCUUUGGUGACUGACAAGAUGGCUUUGAUCAGAUUGUCUGUGGACAGAGGAGGGAGGUUACUGUUAGAGGGUCACGGGCAUCCCCAUGAAGUGUUUGCGGAUGACAUUCAGGAGGCACAUGCUCCCAUGUAGGGUGGAGGUGGAGGUGAGGGUGGGGAGAGGGAGCUCUGGCACAAGGUUUGGCUGGGCCACUGGCCCAGCUUUCUCCCUGAGGAACGAGAUGCAGGCAGGGGAACGGGCAGGUGCACUCGGCUCUGCCUGGAACCAGUCUCCAGUAUGGACGUGCGCUUUCUCCCCCAGGGCUCCCCAGCCCUUUCUGGGAUGCCUCCUCCGGCUUCCCGAGGCUUGUGGUCAGGCCCCAGGACACGGAUCCCCGGCCUGAGACCUGCUCAGGGACAGAGACCAUGCUCGGCUUGCCUCCGUGCCCCCAGUGAGGAGACACCAGAGAGCGAGUGAGGAGGCCAGCGAUGAUGAAGAGCUCAAGUGGGCCCACCAGCUCCCGAGUCAGACCCCUUUGCCACUUUCUGAUACCGGCUUCCCCUCACUUCCCCCUCUAGCACUGCCCAUCUUCAAUCUUGGCCUUGCCCACCUGUCUCUGCCUCCUUCGCUCUCCAACCCGAGGCCUGGGAUCUGCCCACCUGCACUCCACUCAGGCAGCCCUCAGCAAGGGCCCAGGACCUCUGUGUUCUCAGAUCCUGUGACCACUAGCCAGACCUCCUACUUCUUGGCCUCAGGCUUUGCCUAUGGUGACUUACUCCUCUUUCAAACUCAGGCAUAAGGAGAACAUUGUAAUAUAACAUGUAAAGAUACUGGCUUUGGAGUCAAAUCCUAGCUGUGCUACCUCAGAGCUCUGUGACCUUAGAUAAAUCAUGUACUUUCUUUGCGUUUUAGUUCCCCAUCUUUCAAGUGAAGAUGGUAAUUCCUAUUCCGGCAGAGUCAUUGGGAAGAUAAAAAGAUAAUAUACAUAGAGAUCUGGAGGUAAAAGUAAGUAAAUCAGUGCAACCAUAGUGGAGAGCAUCUUAGUAACGCUGAGCAGAGAUGUGGAUGUGCACAGACUAAGAUCUUGCAAGUCUCCUCCUAGGCAGAUAGCAUCUGAAUGUUCCUACAUUUGUUUAAGGAAACUUGUGCAAGAAGGUUCGCUGUGGAGCUGUUCAUAAUAGCAAAAUGCUGGAGGCAAGCUAAAUGUUCAAAGGAAGACAGAUUAAAUGUGGAACCCAGAGUACUACGCAGCAGUAAAAACAAAUAAAAAAGUGACCUUGGGCCACAUGUACUAAUACAGAUAAUCCUGAAAAGCAUAAGCAAAAAAAAAAUAAUAAUUUGAAACACACACACAUAUACAUACGUAUACAUAUAAUAUUAUUUGUAAAAUGUAAAAACAUGUAAAAACAGUGCCUUAUUUUCAAUGGACAUAUAAAUAUGUCACAGACAUAGAUAAACAGGCUUUGGAAUAGUAACCCCCCAACCAGGCCAAUGGUCUCCUGAGAAGGAGGGGCAGGGAACAGAAAAGGCCACACAGAGCUUUGAUUAUAUCUCCUGUUUUAUUCCUUAAGCUGGGGACACAAUACGUGGUUGCUCACGGUUUUCGUCUUCAUUCUUUUUUAUAUGACUGAAAUAUUCCACAUAAAGAAACACUGCCUCCCAACUUAAAAGUAACAACCCUGUGGUUUUUUUUUUACAAGAUGGGGCCACAGACCCCCUCCUUUUCCCACCUCCCAUUUCACCUCUAACAAAAAAGCAAUAUUGCUACUAAUUGGCCAAAGUCGAGGAUAUGGCUUAGGUUUUUGUUUCCUAGGAGGGGACUUUAGCAGAAGAGUAUGAAUUAGUAGGUGCUCUCCUCUUGCUGGCCAAUGGGCUGUGUACCAGCCUUCUCAGGCCUUCGUAGUUUAACAGGAUCAGAGUGAGGAUUUAGGAAAAGAGUAGGCUGCUGAGACACCUGUGCCCAGUAAAAAGGAGUUCUACCCAUUAGAUUUGUCCUUGGGGGUCUGAGGUUGAAAUUCCUGUUCUUGAGUGUCCUUUUGCUGGUCACUGUCUUCUUCUCAGGGAGGGGUGGACUCACUAAGUGGCAAAUUCAGGUAUGUUUGAGUCCCCUGGCCAAAUGAUAUCACCCCUUCAACGGUGCUCUUAUGUAAGUCUGGCCACAACCUAAUACAAUGGGAUUAUUUUCCCCAUGUAACUGAUGAAGACACUAAAGCACAGGCAGGUUAAGGAACAUGUCCAAGGUCACAGCUAGUAAAGAAGUAGUACUGAGAUCUGAUCCUUCAGUGUCUGACCAUAAAGCCCAAUCCCUACCAUGCAGGAACUUGACAACAGAACUGUCAAACUGUCAGGGGCUAGAAAGUCUUCAGUCAGGAGGGAGCUGCAUGGCCAAGGUCCCUAAGGCAAUGGAAGGGGACAGUCCUGAGGGCACAAGGGACAGAGGCACUGAGGAUGCUGGCCACAGCUUAGGUGUACCAGCAAAGGAAACCAGUCCCUGGAUAAGCCCACACCAAGAACCUUUCCUCUUGUGUCAGGACUGAGCUGAUGAAAAAUGUUUGCAAAGUCUCUCAGCCAGGCCUGGACAAGAUUUUAUCUGCUUCCCAAUAUGUACUGGAUGUUAUAUGCUAAUAAAAUCUCUUAAGAUCUGG
This is a long non-coding RNA of Canis lupus familiaris (dog), 2651 nucleotides long. RefSeq lists it as uncharacterized. The record is from RefSeq and is a predicted model, not a curated record. Lineage: Eukaryota; Metazoa; Chordata; Mammalia; Carnivora; Canidae. The transcript is spliced from 2 exons.